UUCGUUCAUAUCACAAUAUUUAUAUUUAUCUAAUACUAAUCACUACGGAAAGGAAUCCGUAACACAAUUAUACAUUGCAGUAUCAAGAACUUGGUCAGUGUUGCUCUGAUGGUGGGUCCCUCUGACGUGUGUGUGUGUGCGUGCGUGCGUGCGUGCGUGCAUGCGCGUGUGUGCGUACAUACCUGUAUGUAUGUGUGUGUACCUACGUACGAGUGUGUGUCUCUGUAUGUGUCAUUCAGUGAACAGGCAGCGAAGCAGCUUCAGAAGAACAGGAAGCACAUGCAGCAGAAGUUCAGUGUGAACGAGGACCGGAGAGCAGAGGCUAAGGAGGAGCUGUCCCAGAUGGCUACGCUGCACCCCAAUGCCAAGGUCAACUUGGAGGAGCUGGAGCAGAAGACCUUCAUGGUGGAGCAGAGGAUGCGAGUAUGUGUGAGAAGAGCCAUGCACUUAGCUAGACAUCCAUGCACUCUAACCUGUAGUAAAUCCAUCCUAGAUAUAGAGGUGGCAUAUCCUUAUUGACACGUCUAAUGUUUAGAUUCAGCGCUUUGACCAUUAGAUAUUGCCGAUCACAUAAUCUGCACUAGUUGUCAGUGAAAUAAGCACAUACUUUUAGAGAUUCAUCCAUGCAUGGAGACUCACUAACAAGUUGGGUUUGUGAAAGGAAAGGAGCACUUGAAGAUAGACGUUCAGAUAGAUCCAUGUACAAUGAUGGAAUGGGCUUCUUUACUAGUGUUACUGAUGCAACACAUCAGUAUCUCCUCGGAAAGUGACUGAGAAUCCUAAGAAAGACGAGCGAGAUGAAAGCCCUGGCCAUUCUGAAGGAUAAAAGAACAACUAUUGAAGCAGAAUUACACCAGGAGCAAACCAACACAGAAAACGCCAGAUGGGGACUUCAUAAGGAAUUUGAGAAAGUGUGAAGUUUAAGGUAGACUUCACCGUCAAGAUAGAACUGCCAAAGGGGGAGGAGUUGCAGUAUACUGCAGAGAUAGCCUGCAAAGUAAUGUCAUACUUUCCAGGUCGCAGUUGCAAAUGAGAACUUGUUCUCAACUAGCCUACCUGGUUAAAUAAAGGUGAAAUAAAAAAAAAUAAAAAAGGGAGCAACUCAGUGAUUUUCCUACGGAACACAACAACACUUCAGUUUGUCUGUAAAAGGAACGGAGGCUAAAACUUGCCCAUCUAAAUACAGUCAAGGAAUUACACCAAGCUGUUACCGACGGGUGUAACCAUGCCUUGAGUAGGAUCGCAGACCUCAGUGCUAAGUCCAAAGAGUACAGAACAGGCCCUCACAUGGAGGAAACAGCAGCCGCUAUACCAGAUGUCAUUGAAGAACUACAGUUCGUCUUUGAUGCCGUAGAGUUUCAAAACCAAACAGCUAUGUUGAUCAUGAACACCUUGGAACGUGAUAUCACCAACUGUCAACAACGGAUGGAGCCAACAGUGGAAACUCAUUCUACUCUGUUCACAACCAGACAGGAGAAAAUGGAGGAAACCAACGUAACUAAACACUGGGUCAUUUGGUUGAAUACAAGGUGGUUUGGUUUAUGUUGUACUCACUGUAUUUGACUUUAGUAUCACUGUUAUUCCUAAUACAGAGCAUUUAGCUGGAAUUGUGGAUUUUAUCUCUUGAGACCAUGUACAAUUCUGAUUCCCCUGAAAUGUUGACUUGCCACUUGUUUUAACGUCAGGUAGGCUGAGUGCUUGAAACUAAAAAUGUUUUGAUUUCAAACAUGCCCAUUGGCAUUUGUUUUCAGAGUGGUACUGUAUAUUGGUAACAAACACAAGAGAAAGUCUGAAAGGGUCUUCAGCUUAUUGUGUAGUUAUUUGUGGAUUAGCGUCAGUAGAAUUACUCACCACAAUCCGUUGUGAGAAGACAACAACAGCAAUUAAAAUUACAAGCCAAG
Long non-coding RNA from Oncorhynchus tshawytscha (Chinook salmon), 1901 nucleotides. The record is from Ensembl. NCBI's taxonomy places the organism in Eukaryota, Metazoa, Chordata, Actinopteri, Salmoniformes, Salmonidae.